Molecule: ribosomal RNA, 255 nt
Filed under: Escherichia coli
Lineage: Bacteria; Pseudomonadati; Pseudomonadota; Gammaproteobacteria; Enterobacterales; Enterobacteriaceae
Description: partial 23S ribosomal RNA
Rfam family: Bacterial large subunit ribosomal RNA
Source: RNAcentral
GCGAGGCCGAAAGGCGUAGUCGAUGGGAAACAGGUUAAUAUUCCUGUACUUGGUGUUACUGCGAAGGGGGGACGGAGAAGGCUAUGUUGGCCGGGCGACGGUUGUCCCGGUUUAAGCGUGUAGGCUGAUUUUCCAGGCAAAUCCGGAAAAUCAAGGCUGAGGCGUGAUGACGAGGCACUACGGUGCUGAAGCAACAAAUGCCCUGCUUCCAGGAAAAGCCUCUAAGCAUCAGGUAACAUCAAAUCGUACCCCAAA